RNAcentral lists this ribosomal RNA (465 nucleotides) under uncultured bacterium. RNAcentral describes it as "partial 16S ribosomal RNA". It matches the Rfam family "Bacterial small subunit ribosomal RNA", at positions 338 to 795 of the family's 1533-position model. The record is from RNAcentral.
CCUACGGGAGGCAGCAGUAGGGAAUCUUCCACAAUGGGCGAAAGCCUGAUGGAGCAACGCCGCGUGGGUGAAGAAGGUCUUAGGAUCGUAAAACCCUGUUGUUAGAGAAGAAAGUGCGUGAGAGUGACUUUUCACGUUUCGACGGUAUCUAACCAGAAAGCCACGGCUCACUACGUGCCAGCCGCCGCGGUAAUACGUAGGUGGCAAGCGUUAUCCGGAUUUAUUUGGAGUAAAGGGAACGCAGGCGGUCUUUUAAGUGUGAUGUGAAAGCCUUCGGCUUAACCGGAGUAGUGCAUUGGAAACUGGGAGACUGGAGUGCAGAAGAGGAGAGUGGAAUUCCAGGUGUAGCGGUGAAAUGCGUAGAGAUAUGGAAGAACACCAGUGGCGAAAGCGGCUUUCUGGUCUGUAACUGACGCUGAGGUACGAAAGCGUGGGUAGCAAACAGGAUUAGAUACCCGAGUAGUC